UACGUAGGUGGCAAGCGUUGUCCGGAAUUAUUGGGCGUAAAGCGCGCGCAGGCGGUCCUUUAAGUCUGAUGUGAAAGCCCACGGCUCAACCGUGGAGGGUCAUUGGAAACUGGGGGACUUGAGUACAGAAGAGAAGAGUGGAAUUCCACGUGUAGCGGUGAAAUGCGUAGAGUAUGUGGAGGAACACCAGUGGCGAAGGCGACUCUUUGGUCUGUAACUGACGCUGAGGCGCGAAAGCGUGGGGAGCAAACAGG
This 254-nucleotide ribosomal RNA is filed under the name uncultured bacterium. Its description in RNAcentral is "partial 16S ribosomal RNA". It matches the Rfam family "Bacterial small subunit ribosomal RNA", at positions 524 to 776 of the family's 1533-position model. The record is from RNAcentral.